Ornithodoros turicata is the source of this 540-nucleotide long non-coding RNA. RefSeq lists it as uncharacterized. NCBI's taxonomy places the organism in Eukaryota, Metazoa, Arthropoda, Arachnida, Ixodida, Argasidae. The record is from RefSeq and is a predicted model, not a curated record. The transcript is spliced from 3 exons.
CACGUGGGAUUGCUUGACGGUUGCGAAAUUAACAGCAAUGAAAAUGGCGAAACGAAACUUGUGAAUCGUGCAUUUGCUCUUCAUGGUAGCUGCCAGAAAAUCGAAUCAAACUUAUGGGACACUGGAUUACAGGUUGCUGCCACUACUCCAUGUGCCCGCAAUUGUCUUGCGUGUAUGAUUACACUAACGACGUCGCCCACCACGGCGGAAGUGUUUUGCGUACACGCGUUUCAGCAUGAAGCCUGCAGGUGGACGUAAAUUGUAGAAGGCAGCUAGUGGGGGAGAAGAUCAUGGUCAUAGGUCAUGUGGCUCCUGGAGCUCCCAGUGGGCUCCCUUGUGGAGUACUUUUCAGAACACGCACACAGUUCGCUCACAGAACCAACGAGUAGGAUGUUGCUUGAAUACUGAGAGAAAAUGGCAUAACACAUACAAAUAUCGUGUGACACAUAUGACAAUAAAACCAUUUUUCACGAGGGAUGCAUGAAACACUGUCGCAAUAUUGUGUGCAUGAACCAUUGUGUGUGACACAAGCCGUGGGGG